Molecule: long non-coding RNA, 577 nt
Filed under: Capsicum annuum
Lineage: Eukaryota; Viridiplantae; Streptophyta; Magnoliopsida; Solanales; Solanaceae
Description: long non-coding RNA (CANN_LNC007704)
Source: RNAcentral
AUUUAUUUUUAAUCAUUAUAAUUACAAGAAUAAAUAUUUUGCUCUUCACCUUCUGAAGUAGAUGAUUAUAUGUUGUUAACAUAUUUAAUCUAUGAAUUGUAUGUCUAUUAUUUUGAGAAGCGGUUGAGUUGGUGUAAUUAUUUUUUUUUAUUUUUUUAUUUUAUAUUCUUUUCAUAUAAAGAUCUAUCUAUAUAUUAUUUAAUAAAUUAUUUGUAUUAUUAAAACCGCACAAAGUGCGAAUAAUUUAACUAGUAGAAAUUAAAGAAGAAGAAUUAAAUAGUAAUUCAUUGACUUCUGAAUUUAAGUAUUUUUAAUACUCCAUUCGUCUUAGUUAUGCCACACUUUGUAAUCAAUUGCUGGGAAUUACUGAGAGUAAACUUGUUUGAUGAUGAAACUGGAAGAGAAUACUUAUUCAAAAUGAAGUUCAAGAUUCUUGAAUGGGGAUGGCCAAGGCGAUGAUGCCAAACUUGACGAGGUGUUGAGGCAGUGGCAACUUGAACAGUAGUCUUAUUAACUGUGAAAUUGGGUCAUUCGCAGAGUCCAUUCCUAUUCCGACCGGAUACCAGCGAAGCCCGCG